UACGUAGGGUGCUAGCGUUAAUCGGAAUUACUGGGCGUAAAGGGUGCGCAGGCGGUUCUGUAAGUCAGAUGUGAAAUCCCCGGGCUUAACCUGGGAACUGCGUUUGAAACUACAGAGCUAGUGUGUGGCAGAGGGAGGUGGAAUUCCAUGUGUAGCAGUGAAAUGCGUAGAGAUAUGGAAGAACAUCGAUGGCGAAGGCAAUCUCCUGGGCUAACACUGACGCUCAUGGACGAAAGCGUGGGGAGCAAACAGGAUUAGAUACCCUGGUAGUCCACGCCCUAAACUAUGUCAACUAGUUGUUGGGCCUUAAUAGGCUUGGUAACGUAGCUAACGCGUGCAGUUGACCGCCUGGGGAGUACGGUCGCAAGAUUAAAACUCAAAUGAAUUGACGG
RNAcentral lists this ribosomal RNA (392 nucleotides) under uncultured bacterium. Its description in RNAcentral is "bacterial SSU rRNA". It matches the Rfam family "Bacterial small subunit ribosomal RNA", at positions 524 to 916 of the family's 1533-position model. The record is from RNAcentral.